RNAcentral lists this long non-coding RNA (567 nucleotides) under Capsella grandiflora. RNAcentral describes it as "long non-coding RNA (CGRA_LNC000180)". The record is from RNAcentral. Lineage: Eukaryota; Viridiplantae; Streptophyta; Magnoliopsida; Brassicales; Brassicaceae.
CCCAAAGCUUCUCAACUCCAAACGAAACAACUCCUUCAGCCAUAAUUGCUCGUUGAAAAUCAUCAACGAUGAAGAAAGCGAUCAGUUUUAUCAAAACUCUAAGCUAAAAGUUGACUCCAAAGACAACAUAAAAAAAAUAAAAAUAACAAUCGGACCAUUUCGAAGAAGUUGCUUGGGUCAUUAAACCGUUGAUUCAGUCGUAUCAUUACUUAUUGAAUUCUCCAGCUCAUUCACAUUAAUGCCUCAAUUCUGCAUAACAUAUGUCAUAUAUAGCAGUAGAAAACUUGAGAGACUAAAAUUUCAAUUAGAGGCACACAAAACCUUGCACUGUUGGAAACUAAUAAGAAGUCCAAAUUUUUACCAGGAUUAUACGAGCAUAUAUAUAUAUAAUAUUUACACUGUAACAGUUUUAUCAUUCGAGAGUAAACACACCAAUUACUCAUUCUAUAUUUAUAAAUGUCAACUUAUCUUAAGACAAGACAGACCACCACGUUCGUCGCACUGUAACUUAAUUUAUUCUAAAUUAUGAUAAACUAACUAUAUGUGUGUAUGUUGUUGACAAAAAAA